AAAAAGAUAAGCUAAAUCAAGCUAAUAGGUUCAUACCCUAUAUAUGAAAGUCAAGCCUUUCUCUUUUUA
This 69-nucleotide transfer RNA is filed under the name Gonocephalum sp. MT-2015-Zz052324. Its description in RNAcentral is "tRNA-Met". The record is from RNAcentral. Lineage: Eukaryota; Metazoa; Arthropoda; Insecta; Coleoptera; Tenebrionidae.